Small nuclear RNA from Callithrix jacchus (white-tufted-ear marmoset), 107 nucleotides. Lineage: Eukaryota; Metazoa; Chordata; Mammalia; Primates; Cebidae. The record is from Ensembl.
GUGCCCGCUUUGGCGCAUAUAUACUAAAAUUGGAAAAGUAACAAAGAAGAUUAACACAGCCCCUGCACAAAGAUGACAGGCAAAUUCAUCAAACAAACAUUCCUUUU